CCGGCGCACGGGUGAGUAACGCGUAUCCAACCUGCCGUCUACUCUUGGACAGCCUUCUGAAAGGAAGAUUAAUACAAGAUGGCAUCAUGAGUCCGCAUGUUCACAUGAUUAAAGGUAUUCCGGUAGACGAUGGGGAUGCGUUCCAUUAGAUAGUAGGCGGGGUAACGGCCCACCUAGUCUUCGAUGGAUAGGGGUUCUGAGAGGAAGGUCCCCCACAUUGGAACUGGGACACGGUCCAA
RNAcentral lists this ribosomal RNA (239 nucleotides) under uncultured bacterium. Its description in RNAcentral is "partial 16S ribosomal RNA". It matches the Rfam family "Bacterial small subunit ribosomal RNA", at positions 95 to 334 of the family's 1533-position model. The record is from RNAcentral.